AACCUAGCACACCUGCGGUGUGUACCUGCGGAAGGAUCAUUACCGAGUGAGGGCCCUCCGGGUCCAACCUCCCACCCGUGUUUAACGAACCUUGUUGCUUCGGCGGGCCCGCCUCACGGCCGCCGGGGGGCACUCCGCCCCCGGGCCCGCGCCCGCCGAAGACACCUGUGAACGCUGUCUGAAGUUGCAGUCUGAGACACUAGCUCAAUCAGUUAAAACUUUUAGCAAUGGAUCUCAGAU
RNAcentral lists this unclassified non-coding RNA (240 nucleotides) under soil metagenome. Its description in RNAcentral is "partial contains 5.8S ribosomal RNA, internal transcribed spacer 2, and large subunit ribosomal RNA". The record is from RNAcentral.